UGUGGCAACACCCAUAGAGUUGAGGUAUUUCUGCUAUCUAGAUCAUUGUUGUACAUUUAUCUUUGUCAUUGAUAAUAAAGUUUUUAUUUUUUUGUGCUCUCAUUGUUUUCAAUUUUCCAUUUACAAGAUCAUGUAAUCUUCUGGGAAAUAUGAAGUAUAUGAUGCUGUCAUGGGUUUAUUUUCUUUCACAUUUUUCCAAUUUGUUAUGAUUUUAUACUUAGAUAUUCAACCAUCUUGAGUAAUACCUGUUGCCUGUUUCUUCCAAUGGACAAAGGAGGUUUAAUGUUCAUUGUAUGAAUAUGAUGAUAAAUUGAUUCUUUAUUUUCCUAUACACAAGCAUCUUAGCACCUCACACACCCAAAUUCAUUUUUUUAUACUGAUUUUAAUCGAUUAUUGCUUUCAAGUCUUGUUGUACCCUUCUUGCGCAUUGGUGAAGUUAUCUCUGGUGGAACUCAUUUUCCUUUGACAUCCGAUG
This 475-nucleotide unclassified non-coding RNA is filed under the name Hevea brasiliensis (rubber tree). Lineage: Eukaryota; Viridiplantae; Streptophyta; Magnoliopsida; Malpighiales; Euphorbiaceae. The record is from RNAcentral.